This 510-nucleotide ribosomal RNA is filed under the name uncultured bacterium. Its description in RNAcentral is "bacterial SSU rRNA". It matches the Rfam family "Bacterial small subunit ribosomal RNA", at positions 36 to 524 of the family's 1533-position model. The record is from RNAcentral.
GGAUAACUGGCGGCGUGCCUAUCAUGCAAGUCGAUCGGACGGACGAGAAGCUUGCUUCUCUGAUGUUAGCGGCGGACGGGUGAGUAACACGUGGAUAACCUACCCAUAAGACUGGGAUAACUUCGGGAAACCGGAGCUAAUACCGGAUAAUAUUUUGAACCUCAUGGUUCAAAAGUGAAAGACGGUCUUGCUGUCACUUAUAGAUGGAUCCGCGCUGCAUUAGCUAGUUGGUAAGGUAACGGCUUACCAAGGCAACGAUGCAUAGCCGACCUGAGAGGGUGAUCGGCCACACUGGAACUGAGACACGGUCCAGACUCCUACGGGAGGCAGCAGUAGGGGAUCUUCCGCAAUGGGCGAAAGCCUGACGGAGCAACGCCGCGUGAGUGAUGAAGGUCUUCGGAUCGUAAAACUCUGUUAUUAGGGAAGAACAUAUGUGUAAGUAACUGUGCACAUCUUGACGGUACCUAAUCAGAAAGCCACGGCUAACUACGUGCCAGCAGCCGCGGUAAU